UGCGUAACGCGUAUGCAACCUGCCUGACACAGGGGGAUAAUCCGAAGAAAUUUGGUCUAAUACCCCAUAAUACCGAUAUAGGCAUCUAUGUUGGUUGAAAGCUUUGGUGGUGUCAGAUGGGCAUGCGUUGUAUUAGCUAGUUGGUGAGGUAACGGCUCACCAAGGCGACGAUCGGUAGCCGGACUGAGAGGUUGAACGGCCACAUUGGGACUGAGACACGGCCCAGACUCCUACGGGAGGCAGCAUG
RNAcentral lists this ribosomal RNA (247 nucleotides) under uncultured bacterium. Its description in RNAcentral is "partial 16S ribosomal RNA". It matches the Rfam family "Bacterial small subunit ribosomal RNA", at positions 107 to 353 of the family's 1533-position model. The record is from RNAcentral.